AUGAAGUACCGACUGGCAUGAUUGUGAUGUUUGCAAAUGAAUGCUCAAAUAAAUUUAUGACAAUUAAAAUUAAAAAUUUCUGUAAUGUUGGCUUGUUUAAGUUGUUUUGAAUUAACCUGCUGACAGAAAUGUCCUCGGGAUAUCCGAAAUGAAAACACGCUAACAGAUUCUUCUCGUCUGCGACGCUAGCGAAAACUGUACAGUUUAAAUGAAUUUGAAAUCUCAAACAGAUAGUGAGAGUAAGACUCCGGAGAUUAAAAUGUUGCCGUUUAUGCCAUCAACAAAAGUGUCUAGCUUGUCCAUCGACGAUGUAGAAAGGGACUUUGUAACUCAUGUAUAUACUGGUUUGGACAAAUCUGAAGCCGAAAGACGUGCAAGAAUAUAUGGGUUGAACGAAUUUGAUGCGGGAGCUGAAGUUCCAAUAUGGCGAAAAUAUUUUGAUCAGCUUUAGGAAUGGUUCAUUGGUAAACUUUCUUGCUAAAGAAUUAGUUUGUGGGGAUAUUGUUGUCAUAGCUACUUGUGAUCGUGUACCAGCUGAUAUACGAUUGGUUGAGGCCGUAGACCUUGAAAUUGAUGAAUGAAGCUUCACUGAGGAAACUGAACCCCAGAGGAAAUAUACGUCAUCAAUACCAGAAGCCUUAGCGAACAGUAGUCUUACGGAGCAAAAAAAAUAUUGCGUUUAUGGGCACGUUGGUUCGCUGUGGAAAUGGAAAGAAAGUGGUAUGGAUAAUUUUUGAGCAAGCGCCUUACAUAAGGAUGUUUCACCAGUACCGGUUGGCUCUGUGAAAGUUUUAAAGAAAAGUUCAACUUAUUCUUCUGGAUAUUUGCAGUAGAUCACGUGAAGACAAACAUGAUGUACUAUGAGUGGUAAAUGCUGGUGUUUGAUUGGCUUCGUUGUUUGUUUUCGAGUGACGUCACAGCGGUACACAAACAUGGUAGCCUUGACGUCAUUUAAUAGUUGGCUCGUUAAAACACCAUCACGUCUCUCGCGUUUCAUUCUAUCUGAUUGUAGCUAACUUAUUCUUAUCAAUACUUUGAUAUGUGAUUUUUCAAUCUUGAA
Molecule: long non-coding RNA, 1060 nt
Organism: Xenia sp. Carnegie-2017
Lineage: Eukaryota; Metazoa; Cnidaria; Anthozoa; Malacalcyonacea; Xeniidae
Exons: 4
Source: RefSeq, a predicted model, not a curated record